UCCGUAGGUGAACCUGCGGAAGGAUCAUUAUCGAUGGCCAACCUAGCCUUACAGGUAACUCCACAACCCCUUUUAUACGUACCUUUUGUUCUUCCUCGGCAGGGCGACCUGCCGAUGGAACCUCAUCACACCCUUUUGCAUCUAGCAUUACCUGUUCUGAUACCCUAAAUUAUUACAACUUUUAACAAUGAAUCUCUUGGCUCUAACAUCGAUGAAGAACGCAGCGAAAUGCGAUACGUAGUGUGAAUUGCAGAAUUCAGUGAAUCAUCGAAUCUUUGAACGCACAUUGCGCCCCUUGGUAUUCCGAGGGGCAGGUCUGUUCGAGCGUCAUCUACACCCUCAAGCACUGCUUGGUGAUGGGCGUCUGUCCCGCCUCUGCGCGCGGACUCGCCCCAAAGGCAUUGGCAGCGGUCCUGACCGCCUCUCGCGCAGCACAUUUGCGCGUCUCGAGGCGACGGGUCCGCGUCCACGAAGCUUUCUUACCAUUUUGACCUCGGAUCAGACCAGGAUACCCGCUGAACUUAAGCAUAUCAAUAAGGCGGGAGGGGAAGGUCGGACUGGCCAAGGGCACACAGGGGGGGAUA
RNAcentral lists this ribosomal RNA (584 nucleotides) under uncultured fungus. Its description in RNAcentral is "eukaryotic LSU rRNA". The stretch from base 177 to 330 matches the Rfam family "5.8S ribosomal RNA". The record is from RNAcentral. Lineage: Eukaryota; Fungi.